GACGAACGCUGGCGGCGUGCUUAACACAUGCAAGUCGAACGGAAAGGCCCUGCUUUUGUGGGGUGCUCGAGUGGCGAACGGGUGAGUAACACGUGAGUAACCUGCCCUUGACUUUGGGAUAACUUCAGGAAACUGGGGCUAAUACCGGAUAGGAGCUCCUGCUGCAUGGUGGGGGUUGGAAAGUUUCGGCGGUUGGGGAUGGACUCGCGGCUUAUCAGCUUGUUGGUGGGGUAGUGGCUUACCAAGGCUUUGACGGGUAGCCGGCCUGAGAGGGUGACCGGCUACAUUGGGACUGAGAUACGGCCCAGACUCCUACGGGAGGCAGCAGUGGGGAAUAGUGCACAAUGGGCUGAAGCCUGAUGCAGCAACGCCGCGUGCGGGAUGACGGCCUUCGGGUUGUAAACCGCUUUCGCCUGUGACGAAGCGUGAGUGACGGUAAUGGGUAAAGAAGCACCGGCUAACUACGUG
This 468-nucleotide ribosomal RNA is filed under the name uncultured bacterium. Its description in RNAcentral is "partial 16S ribosomal RNA". It matches the Rfam family "Bacterial small subunit ribosomal RNA", at positions 28 to 507 of the family's 1533-position model. The record is from RNAcentral.